Corvus hawaiiensis (hawaiian crow) is the source of this 663-nucleotide long non-coding RNA. RefSeq lists it as uncharacterized. Lineage: Eukaryota; Metazoa; Chordata; Aves; Passeriformes; Corvidae. The record is from RefSeq and is a predicted model, not a curated record. The transcript is spliced from 3 exons.
GCACACCUAGGAGCGCCCCAGCUGGACCCGCACAUCCCCGAGCCCCUGAAAAGCGUCUCUAUGCCUUUGUUGGCAGCUGUGAAAGCGGCUUUUUUCCUCCUUAACAUCUGUGCCUCGCCGGGCUCCGGCGGCUGCGGGAGGGAAAAUUCAUCCUUUGUUGCUCCUCCGCCGUUUCUUUGCCGGGGUUGGGAUGGAAGAAAAUCAGCUCGUUUUUCUUCAAAUCAGCUCGUUUUUCUUCCUGCCCUUCCUGUUUACGGCCACGCUGGGGGUUCUUGGGCGCUGCUCGGACUCGAAUUCCCCCUGCUGCUCUCAAAAGACGAUUCCGGCUGUAAAACCAACCCAGCGGUUAUAAACCCCAAAGUUGUCUCCCACAAUUAAAGAAUAGAAAAGAAAUCCUCGGUUCACGUUACAAAGACGGGCUCAUAGAAAACCAAGCCAACGGAACAGAAACACCCAAGGUCCUGGAGCGCCGUGCCCGGCUCCUGUGGAGCCCGCGGAGGGAGGCUCUUCCCGAGAGUUUUAAUGCCAGGGAGCUCUUCCUGCUGGGUUUGGGAAAGGUUGGGGAAAGGGGAGUGGCUGCCUGUCCAUCCCAUCCCAUCCCAUCCCAUCCCAUCCCAUCCCAUCCCAUCCCAUCGGAGCAUCCUUGGUCCUGGAGAGGAAAAU